AAAUUCUCUUUCACCCUAAAAUCCCUUCAAAUUACUAUUAGGCUAAAAUUCCUAAGAGGUGGCCGCAAAAUUUCAUCAAAAUGCACAAAGUUGCAAAGAACUCAGAAGGGUAGUGUCUAAAAUUUAUCUCUCCAAGCGACUUUACACAAAUUGCACCAUUGGAUUAUCCGCCUAAACAAGAGUAAGUUUAAUUUCUUUCUCUUUAAUCGGUUCUGUUUCUUUUUUCUUCUUCGUGCUUUUUUUCCCCGAUUGAAUCAGAAAUCGAAAAAAGGAUUCUGCAAUUUUUUAGUUUCUUUAGUUGUUUUCUUUAAUUGAUUAUUUUAAUACUGAUUUUUCUUGUGUAAGUGAUAAAAGUGAGAUUAUUGGAUUUUAAAUUAUUUUGUAAAAGGUAAACCUAAAAGUUUUGAAUAUCCAAUUUGGGAAUUUACGAGUUCAACAUACAAAAAGCAGGAAUAGACAUAUAGGCUGCAAAUGAACAAUAUAGAAGUGCAUUCUAGAAGUGGAAUUUGGAAGUUUUGACAGUUUAGGGAUUUCCCUCUUUCUUUCCUUUUUUUCUUUUCUAUAAUUUGGAAGUUUUGGCAGUUUAGGGAUUUCUCCCUUUCUUUCCUUUUUUCCUUUUCUAUUAAAGCAGAUUGAACUUUAUUGUUUUUAGGCCUCUGAUACAGGGAGAAUAAGAGGGAAUGAUGAAAUAGAACGGAAAGAUUUAAGUACUAAAUAGUUGGAUUCAAAUGUUAUUACACCUGGAAUGAAAUUCAUGGAAUUGUUGUCAUCUGCACUUCAAUACUAUGUACGUUUGAAAGUGAAUGUAGACUCUGGUUGUCAAGGAAUCAAGAUAAGUGUACUUCUGAUGGACACUUGCUCUCAUGCUCUAUGGGAUAUGCUUUUUCUGUCAUACAUUAUGCUUUUUCUACAUCGUGAUCUUUUUAGGUUAUUCUCUCUGAUGCUAGUGUGCCUGGUAAAGGGGAGCAUAAGAUAAUAUCUUAUAUUCGGUUGCAAAGGAAUCUUCCAAGAUUUGAUCCUAAUACACGACAUUGCUUGUAUAGUUUGGUAAUUUGUGGGAUCCUACUUUUCCUUACUUCUCUUUUCUGUUGUACUCUACAACAGCCUACCUUGCCCUUUUUUCUUUAUGCUGAAGUGCUCUUUCAUGACAUCUUUCAAGUGUGUUCUUUUUAUAAUAUUUUCUGGUGCUUCCAUAGGACGUAGACUUGAUAAUGCUGGCAUUGGCGUCACAUGAAGUUCACUUUUAUUCUAAGGGAGGCCAGUGUGUUUUUGGGUGUGUUGUUUUAGGUCUUUUUUCACGUUCUUCUAAUUAUGUCAUCACAACAGGGAAACAAGUUAUUCUGAUUAUGUAAUGAAUUUGUCCUUGAUUGCAGGAUGUCCGCAAAGAUAAAUCAAAGUAUAGAGGUCAACAGAAUAAGAAAGAUAUGUAUAGACAAUAAGCAGGUAGGCACUCAAAAAAAGGGGAAGGGUGCAGCAAAGACUUGGAGAACUUAAUAUCAGAACAGAAGUUUCAGGUUAGAAACUUGAUUUAGUAUGAUGAUGUUGUAUCAUUGUGUUAUCAAGAUCCACCGCUGCAGUAAGUUGUAAGAAUUUGAUGUGGUUGCUUUGCUCUAAAAGUUGGAACUUUAAGAACUGCUCGAUAUAGUUCUAUACUUUUAUUAUGCUGCUACGAAAAAUUCUUAUCAUUUUGCGAACUGUGGGAAAUUAUUCUAUGUUUGUGAAUCCAAAUAACUGUAUAUAUGUUGGUUCCAAGAAGGAAAUUUUUCUCACUCAAAGUAACUUCUGUUUGAAUGCUGAGGCUUCAUUUGUUUCUGCAAAAACAUUUUUUUCUGUUUCCUUUCAUAAAUUUAUCUACAAUAUUUUUCUCUUCCUGAUUAUAUGUUCAAAAUCCAAACUGGUUCUAGUUUCUUGUGAGUGUAAAUUAAGAAAAACCAACAAACACAGAUGAAAGAAAGAAUAGAAGAGGAUAUGAAAUCCUGGAUUUCUGAAAUUAUGAUCUCAUACUGGCAUCUUAUCCGCCAUCAGUAAAUUGUUCUCUAUCUCUCUGGCCUAAUCAUAAUCAGUUAAGAAAAUAUUUGGAGAAAGCCGUCAAAAGUUGGCUUACUGAAUUAACAAGAAACAAUUGGAAGGUACUCGCUCUAUGUAUGAUGUACCAAUUUCAAGGGAAUAAAAAUAGUUUCUUUGGUUUAAAUUGGUUUGCCAUAUGAAAUUAAUCAGAUAGAACAAAUUGACAAUUUCUCCAUUUGUCUUAAUUUAGAUGAACUGUUACUUAAUUUUGUUACAAUUGAUGUCAAAGUUAAUCAUCUAUGAUUUUCACUCUCCUUUUAGAUCUAAUAAGUAAAACCUAGACAGAGAAAACAAGAUAGAUAAAUUUAGGAAAGAGGGUUUGGGUUGAUGAAUACCCUGUAAUUGUUAAGUAGAGAGAAUUUAUUAGAGGACGUUGUUACUGAGGGUGGAAAAUUAGCAAAAGAAUGUUGAUAUCUCCAGCAUGGUUCUUUCAAUCCCUUAUUUUGGUUUUCCUACUACUUUUCUCAUAUGGAGUAGAUGAAAUAUAAUGUAUAUCCAGUGUCAUACUUUUGUUGGUAAGGAGAAUUGAGAACGGAUUGCAUAAUUUUUAUUAUUACCUUUAGGUUCCAAUUGUUUCCCUGUUAUCUGACGGUAUAAUCUGUUAAUAGCUAUCAGUUCAAUAACUCAAGUAAUGGGAUUAGCAAGCAAGUAUGCGUCCUGGACAAGGAUGCAACUAGGUUACAAGAGAAAACAAACAAUUGGUUGGCACGAGCUUAGAAGAGGAAGGAUACAUAGGAAAAACAUGACAGUUUUAAGUUACAAGUUCGAAUUUUCAAUGUUCAAGUGCAACCAUAUUAAGUUUGAAAUACACGUCUUACUGUCCAUCACAUUUAUAUCUAUGAAGAACUAAUUAUUUUGAAAAGGUUAUGGUUAAAAAGCGUGUCAGUUUGAUUUAAAUUGAAAAUGUAAAAGACAAAAAAUAGACAGCUAACUAUAACUAUGUGUGUCCAUAUUAUGUGCUUCUAUAACUUAAUAUAGUGAUACGUAGAAACUGUGAUUCAGGCAGAUUAUUUGUUUAGACUGAAUACUCAUAUUAGUGAUCACAAAAGGCAAGGGCACGUGCAUUAACAGACAGAAUUAGCCACGUAUUAAUUACAUGCUUGCAGUAUCCAGCCAUGUUCAGAACAGGGAACGUGCAACAGAUUUAGAUAGGGUUUCACAUUAUUGGAGAUAACAUAGUUUAUUCAUUACCACUAGGUGGAAUCAUAUAGACAUAUAUUGAACAGAAGCAUGCUGAAGUUAAAAAUGACUAAUCAGACAGCCAUACAGAAUAGGGUGGGGUAGUAGGAAUUAAACAUGCUUGUUUCGGAAACAAGCAAACAAAGAUCAUGGAUCCAACAGGAGCCUGCUAGGGUAAACAAACUAUAGUAGCACAUAGAACAUGACAGGAAUUAAGGCAUACUAGUUAAGAGAGAAAUAAGCAAGAGACAGAAACAUGUCGAUGUCUAUAGUGAAUUGACUAUAUAGCAUAUAGAAUAGAACAUGGUAACAGAAAUUGAGGCAUACCAGUUGAGGAGAUAACAAACAAGAAGGUGAAGGCAAGUGGAAUCGAAGAGUCUAGCCUUGACUUUCAGCCGGCUAGAUAGUGCAGUAAAUCAAAGAACUUGAAUUGUGUAAGUGUGUAAGUAGGAGUUCGUGUGUAUUAGUGUGUGUUUUUGAGUGUAGGUGUGUGAGUCUGAGUGUCGAAAAACCAGAAUGAUGAAGGGUUUUAUAGCAUAUAGUAGAGUAAAACCAAAUAUGGUAGGAGAAUCAAUAGUACACAAAUAAGGCAAAACGACCAAUCAAUCAAUCAAUUAGGGCUUAACAAGAAUCAAUUAAUAGGCAGAAUCAUGGGGGUAUCACUUAAAUUAACACGAACAAAAUCAGUAGCCGAGAUUGAGGUCUUAAUAAGGUAAGUAGUAGGUCCAGAAGUCAAUUAAAAGUCAGGACAUAAAAUCAAGCCGGUAGCACGAAUAAUUAAUCACAUAAAAUAGGUAAAAUCUUAAUAAGGAGUUGCGGGUACUAAAUUCACACCCUAAUUUGGGUAAUAAAAUCAAUUAACACUUAAUUGAUAGGAUUAAAGGUAAACAGGCAAACGAUAGCAGGAUAAACAGUCAAAUAAUCAAAAACCCUAGGAAACACAAAGACAUAUAUAUGGAGCUGGAUUAAAACAAGUAAAAUUAGUCGGAGAGUAAAUAAGAGAGUCAGAGAUGAGAACAUUUAACGCUAAAAACCCUUUUCUCAGAAAUAAAAACCCUAGCUUUUAGAGUAAACGAAAUCGGUCAAUAACAAUAGUAAAAAAAAUAGUAAAUAUUAAAGGAGAAAUGCCAAACAAACACAAAAUCGUUUCAGAUCUAAAGAGAUCUAGACGGAUUCAACCAGAAAAUAGCUAGGUUCAUAAAAAAGGACAAACGCGAAUCAAAUCUGGUUUGAACCAGAGAUUUGAAACCCAGAAAUACGAAGAUACGCAUACUCACAAGUACCAAAGUGAAUAUAGACAGAAUAAUCGAAAAAGGAGAGACUUUGAACCAUAUUUGGUUUAAGUGUCUUGAGAUUCACAUCAAGCAGCGUAGAAAUCGUAUAACCAGUAGAGAUAGGAGGUCGAAUAGGGCCUAAAGUCAAAGGGAAACCUCAUGGAUUGAAGGGUUUCCGGUUGCGGCGGGCUACGGUUUGGGGAGAGUUUGAGAGAGAAAAGAGGAGGAGGGAUUCAAGGGAGGAGGAAUUAAGAGAAAUGAGGCGUUAGGGUUGGGGGUUAGAUUAAAAAAAGGAGUAACGUGGACCGUUGAUCUCAGAGAUCAACGACCACGAUUAGAGGAGGUUCUGGGUCGAGUAAGGGUUAUUUAUUUUGGGCUGGGGUGGAUUGGGUUAGGAUUUUAAGUAAUUGUGCUGGUGUAAUUGGUUUAGGUCCGAAAAUGAUAAAAGGAAAAGGGGCGAUUAUUUAAAUACCCAAUUAACUUAAUAAAAUAAUUUUAUAAAAUAAUUUAUAAAUGAUAAAAAUAUCAUUUGUGCAUGAAAAUAGUUUAAAAUAAUUACUUAGUAUUAUAAAAAAUAUAAAAGUCAUUUUCUGUGUAUAUAAUGUAAUUAUGCAUGUAAUUGCAAAAUGUGCAAUUCUAGCCUUAAAAAUGCAAAGGUAAUUAUAAAAAUACAAUUAAAAUAUUUAAACACUAUAUGAGCAUAAAUAGUGACUUUAGAUGAUUAAAUCAUCAUAAAAUAAUAUGAGAAAUAAUUAUUUGAUAUUUGUAUACUAAAAUGCAGGGAUCAAUUGAUUUAAAGCCUUAAAAAAUUAUAGAAAAAAAUUGUAAAAACACUUGUACAUGCUUGUAAAUCUAAUAACACUGCAUGUACACUAUUUUAAAAAUAUAUAGGCAUAUUCAAAAUAUACGAGGGAAAAAUUGGGUACCAACAGCUUCCCCUCUUUACCCGGGAAGGAUGAAAGAGUUUUUGGGUAAAGAAAUGAUGACCGAUUUUGACCGAAUGGGAUGUCUUGAAAAAUAAUAAAGGCCGCAUCCUGGUCCUUGAGCUGCCUACAUAUCUAUGGUUUUACAAGAAUCAGGCAAUGUGUAGUUCUUGACCCGACGGUGAAUGAGGCCGAUGGAAUUGUUAUAUGAAUGGUAGCAAGUUUCGGAAAGGUUGUUUUGUGAAGGGUAGUAUCGGAUGGGUUUAUGGGAAGUUAUGAAGGCAAAUCUGAAUUGUACCGGGCGUAUCAUAGGGCAGAUAUCUGAACAAUCACAGAGUAAAGGUAGGUAAUUGAUAGGAAUCGGUUAAAUGGCAGAGUAUAAAUGAUACGAGCGAAAAUCGGAGCGAAGGUUGCUCCUGUUUGAAGAACGGUUACCUCCUAGAUUUCCUACAAAACUUAAAACACAAUGCAUGCAAGUAUAUAGAUUGCUGAGAGAAUUUAAACAUAAUACAAAUUCCCUUUUGGACCAUAAAGGUUGUCUUUGGACAGUGAAGCUGACGUCCUUAGACCAUGACAUCUCGGGCCCUGAAUCAUGAGAUAAGAGAUUCGUAGGCCAUGAAAAUGGUGCCUUUGAACCAUGAUGCCUUUGAAUAAUGAUGUUCAGUAUUGAGAGAUCCUCAGGCCAUGACAUGGUGUCUUCAGGCUAAGAGGAUGAUGCCUUCGGACUAUGACGCAUUUGGACAAGUUAGCUAUAUAUCAGCCUAUGAAGUGCAGAGAUAUGAUACCAAAGGUAAUAACAAGGCAACACUUAUCCUCGUACAGAGUUUGGGGGAAGAGCUUAGCCCCGAGAAAAGAAGAUAAUGCAAAUUUGAAAAUGGAGCAACACUUAUGCAGAGGGAGACAAUGCUUAAUCUUACGAGAAGUCAUUGCUUCGCGUUAUGCAAAUAAGAAGGCAGGGCUUAGCCUCAUCCAAAAUUUGAGACAGGGCUUAGUAUUAUGCAUAGAGAAGGCAGUGCUUAGCCUUAUACAAAUAUGGAGGUAGGGCUUAGCCUCAUGCAAGAGUUGAAACAGGGCUUAGUCUCAUGCAAAGAGAAUGCAGUACUUAGCCUUAUACAAAUGUGGAGGUAGGGCUUAUCCUCAUGCAAGAUUUGAGACAGAGCUUAGUCUCAUGCAAAGAGAAGGCAAUGCUUAGCCUUGUGCAAAUGUGGAGGCAGGGCUUAGACUCAUGCAAGAUUUGAGACAGAGUUUAGUCUCAUGCAAAGAGAAGGAAAUGCUUAGCCCUAUGCAGAUAUGGAGGCAGUACUUAGCCUCAUGCAAGAGUUAAGAUAGGGCUUAGUCUCAUACAAAGAGAAAGCAACUCUGUACUACGGAUCUCUGUGGCUGAGGAUGGUCUGGGACAACUCUACACUACUUCCACUUUCUUCAGAUCCACCUUUAUCCCCUCACUCAACACCACGUGACCCAAGAAUGCCAUGAAAUCCAACCAAAACUCACAUUUCGAGAACUUUGCAUAUAAAUUCUUUUGCCUUAAAGUCUUAAGCACUAUCCUCAAGUGUUUCUCAUGAUCUUCCCGACUCAGGGAGUAUACCAGAAUAUCAUCAAUAAAGACAAUGAUGAACGAGUCAAGAUAUGGCCGGAACACACUGUGCAUCAAAUGCAUGAAGGUUGCUGGGGCAUUGGUCAGCCCAAAUGACAUAACAAGGAACUCUUAAUGACCAUACCGAGUCCUGAAAGCAGUAUUCGGGAUAUUUGGCUCCCGAAUCUUCAACUGAUGGUAACCUGAACACAAGUCAAUCUUAUAAAACACUCGUGCACCCUGUAGUUGGUCAAAUAGAUCAUCAAUACGGGGCAAAGGAUAACGUUUCUUCACUGUAACUUUGUUCAAAUGGCGAUAUUCAAUGCACAUACGCAUAGAACCAUCCUUUUUCUUCACAAAAAAGACAAGAGCACCCAAGGUGAUACACUGGACCGAAUAAAACCCUUAUCAAGCCAUUCCUGUAACUGAUCCUUCAACUCCUUCAACUCAGGAGGGGCCAUACGAUACAGAGGAAUAGAAAUGGGUUGAGUGCCUGGCAAUAGAUCAAUGUCAAAAUCAAUAUCUCUAUUGGGCGGCAUGCCCGGAAGAUCAGUUGGAAACACAUCAAAAAAAUCCCAUACUACUGGGACUGAAUCAAUUGUAGGGGUAUCAAUACUGACAUCUCUCACAUAAGCUAGAUACGCGUCACACCCCUUCUCAACCGUACGCUGAGCCUUAAGGAAUGAUAUAACUCUAAUGGAAGUAUGAUCUAAGGUACCCCUCCCCUCUACUCGUGGUACACCUGGCAUAACCAACAUCACGGUUUUGGCAUGCCAAUCAAGAAUAGCAUAAUGGGGCAACAACCAGUCCAUGCCCAAGAUAACAUCAAAAUCUACUAUACUGAGCAAUAAUAAAUCGUCUCUGGUCUCAAAACCACUAAGAGCAACCACACACGACCGAUAAAUGCGGUCCACAACAAGAGAAUCUCCCAUAGGAGUAGAAACAUAAACAGAGGAACUCAAAGAAUCCCCAGAUACACCUAAAUGCGGGGAAAAAUAAGAUGACACAUAAGAAUAGGUGGAGCCUGGAUCGAAUAAAAUUGAUGCAUCUCUAUGACAAAACAGGUGAAUACCUGUGAUGACAUAAUCAGAGGCAACAUCCUCGGUACGUGCAAAAAGGGCAUAAUAUCGGGUCUGGCCUCCCUCUCUAGGGCGACCUCUACCUCCCCAACCUCCACCUCUAGCUGGCUGAGCAGGUGGGGUAGCCAUUGGAGCUGUAACCAUAGCCUGAGAACUCUGCGAGGCACGUUGUGGCUAAGAAGUCUGUGGAGGUGCACCCUUCCUAAGUCUGGGGCAAUCCCUCACCAUAUGGUGGGUGUCACCAUACUCAAAACAAGAUAUGGGAGGACGUGACGGCUGUGACUGGCUCGAGCCAAGUCUGCUGGACUGACCACUGAAAGCAUCCCGUGCAGGAGGCUCACUAGAUACUGGAGGUGCAUAAUAAGGCUUCUUUGAAAGGGAAAAGAAAACUCUUUACAUGUUGGAAAGGGAAGUUAAACAAGCUGAUCUCAUUAAAUGGAACAUUGAGAUCUUCUCCACGGUGUGGUAGGACGAAAGAAUAUGUAGUACAAACUACCAAUCAUACAAAUUCCACCUAUGGCAGACUUACUAUGAACUACACUGCCAGUCUAAUGAGUAACAAGGGAAAGUAAAGCAUAGAGCAGCAUAUGAGCCGUGCACAGAACUACUUCCAUCCCAUACCAAGAUGUGGGAGAAACGACACAUGAGGAAGCUAAUCAUGACUAAAACCAUUCAGUUUUUCUUCCUUCACUAGUUUUAUGCAAGAUGCCAUUUCAUACUACAGCAACCAUAACCAAGAUAGUGGAAUAUCUGAGCAAUUAAGCAAAGAAAAUUUAUAAAUUGAAGUCCAUGAUUUGGUCGCAAAGUUUCUCGGCAACUUCAUCCACAUUUGCCACCUCUUUUGUGAUUUUAAGAGUCACUUUAUUAAUCAUAUAUGGCUGCCACGUGAAAGACUAACUAACCUUAUCCAAAUAAAUAAAUUAAUUAGUUAAUCUCUCACUAAAAAUUAUUAAUUACCCAAUGAUCUGCAUAAUUAAGAAUUAUCUCCAAUUACUUAAAGUACCACUUACUUUUAACAUAAUUUAUACACCCUACUAUCAUGGUCAUAUACCACAUAAAAUAAACACAUACACUAUUGUUUUUAUUAAAACAUCCAUGUAAAAAUACAUAUAUUUUCUCAACUUAUAACUUUCCUAAUCUCAUAUAAAGAGUAAAAUUUUCGUACGCUUAAUUCUUAAAAUGGUAAAAAGACAACCUUAUUUUCUUGUGAGAAAAUAAUUUCAAUCUUUACAAUAAAGAAAAUCUCAUAAACUUUCUCAUAUUUUAUAUGUGUAAAAUAUAAAGCAUAUUCGAAAGUAGUAAUAUUAUUAACUAUAUAAAAUUAAAUUUUUCAAACUUUUUAUAAAAAUGUUCCAUUCAAAAUAUCACAUCAAAUAUAUAUAACGGUAUCAAGGUUGUUAAACUUACGGGGUCUUACAAUAACAUAGUCACAAUUUCUCUAUAAUCUCAUGAAUGGUCUUAAUCCCUUCAACCUCAUAUGGAUUACUACGACUUAUCCUACUAUUAAAGUACGUGAUGUAACAGGCGGAGUUGCAUAUGGGCUUGUGGUAGGAUGACUACGCACCUUAAGGAGAGUUUGGAAUGAUUUGGGAAUUUUAGGGAUUGGUGAUUUGGGUCUAUGGAUUUAAUUUGAAGUGUGGAUAUUACGCGACAGGAGAUUUGAUAUAACGGAAAAGGAGCUGCUUGAAAUGAAGAAGGAUACAACCUAAAUUUGAAUUGCAAGGAUGUUUCCACACAUUUAAUUGAUGUCCACGAGGAGUGAAUGGACUUGUCCAGCUAGAGAGUGAGCUCAGACUCAGGAUAGGGUGUUGAUGUCGUAGUGAUUGUACCCCGUCCAACAGCGUUGGAAGAUGUCGGCACGUAUAGUUCAUAUGUGGAUUAUCUCCAGUGAGCAGAUCGACGGUUGCAUGUUUGGCGAAGCUUCUGUGAAGAAUUCUGUUGGUUAUACAGCAAAGGGAUUGGUCGUGCGAAUGUGGUUGAUGGUUCAGAUUAUAAAAAGGGGUUUCUACAGAAAGAUUUCAAUAAUUUUGGCGGUUGAUUGCGCAAGGUUAUGUCAAUAAGAGAUAAACAAUCCUGUUGAAUUCCAGAGUUGUGUAAUAAGUGGCUUCAAGCUAAGUGGGAGAGUCGCACCGCCUAUAUUUGGGUUGCAUGGUUAACUACUUAUAAGGUUUCUUGAUGUUAUCAUAUUGAUGGGUUAUUUCAGCUACGGGAAAAGAACAUUAGAGGUAAUUUGAGCAAAGAAAUUAUUAAAGGUGUGCUAUAGUUGGCAUUAUUGGUUCAUGUUCAAACUUGGGGAAGGAUUCAGGAUUUAUGCCUUGUAUAGAUGCGGGUUUCAAGGGAAGUGAUUCUGCCGGGUGCUUCGUCGAGAGGGUAUUCAUGUGCUAGAAGAUUCAUGGAAUUGAUUAUAUUCGGGGCCAAGUCAGAGAGGGUGGCUUUCAACAACAGUCCUAGUGGAUUCAAAGGGGUAAAAGUGUGGUGCCUAAUGAUUACUAGCCUAUAGAUACGGUUAAGAAUCAAGCUUUUGUAGUAGCUUAUGAGAAGAAACCCAGAAUAUUCUAUGAUGUUUUGACUUGCAGUGUAGCAUUUGGGAGGUAUGAAAUGGUUCGUGGGAUUUGAGACAGCAUGGUCUCGUGAUUCAGGGUCACUCGGGAUGAGUACGGAUGGAGUGAGCUAUGUGUUGAAUGGUGUUAUUAUUAUUUCAAAGGAAAUCAAGAAUAAAUUGUGUGAAUAUAUAUUGGCUAGCCAUAGUUGAGUUGGCAUAUUGGUGGUAGCGAUCAGUUCCUUCAGCGUGACCAAGUUAUGCAAGUGAUUGUGACGGAACGUGUGAGGCUUGUCGGUCACCGUAAUUGAUGUUAUUUAGAAGCAUUCUACUGUUAUGGCCUGUUAUGUGGAGGCGGAUCCCGGAAGGGCUAUGGUGGCUUAGACCACUACUUAGAGAUUGACAUAUUCUACGGUUAUGAGAAUUCACCUGACAUAUUCUACGGUUAUGAGAAUUCACCAGUGUUUUACUAUGCUUCUCCUGAAGUGAAUUAGGUGAAAAGUUUUUAUAUGAUGAAGCGUUAACCUAUUAGUGGUUCCGGAGUUAUGAUGAAAAUCAUGUUCUAUCGCAUAUUGGCAUGAUGGGUGCAGUAAGUGGUAUGAAAAUUGAAGUAAGGAUCAAAGUUGCAGUUUGGUGUUGACAAGGAUGUCACGGGCUCGGAUGAGCAGGAAGGGAGUUUCGAUGUUUAAAGUAAGUUGGUAUUGUCCUCAGCGUCACCUGAGAUUGGUGCUUUGUGAAAAAGGCUUUGCAUCCUGGUUAAGGAUUCUUGAUCGCUUUUCAGCGUUAGUGCGGCCGGUGGUUUGGAUGUACUGACAUGUUAUCUUAUACGGAAGGGCUGUGGGAGUGUGCCCCACGGGAAGGUUGUAUAAGUGUGGCAUGUAGUCACUUGAUUGAUUGAAGAUUUAAGCCAAGUAUGAAGAUUGUGGUGAUGACAUUAAAUUUAGAAUUGAUGCCUGGAGGGCACUCAAUCUAUUGUGUUGUGGACUAUGGAGGAUUACUCCGGUUAAGAUGGUUGUUCUUGUGUGUUAUGAGAAAAAGGGGAGUUAUUAUGUACCUUUGAAAGGUUAUUAGCCUAGUUUAGUGCGAUCAAAAUCAGCUUGAGGUUUGUGGAUGGAUUUAAAUGUGAAUAUGGGCCUUAUAUCAGGCCGAAUGUGUUCAUUUCAGCAUAACGCUCCUUAUGGAGGAGUAUUCAGAUAUGGGGUGUUAUUUCAUCGUCGUCUAUUUCAUGUAAUGCUAUAUUGUUCCGUGUGAGUUGUGAACGACUCGAUAAUUUUCUUAUGUAUUGAGGUUUCGUGUAACGAUGGUAAUAUAUGAGCAGAAUGGCUCUUGAGAUUCAGAUCGUAUAUCGCACCUCAGUUGUGCUUGAGUUAGUAGCUUAUAGCGCUAUAUGUCUCCUCAGGGAUGGUAUUAUGCACAUAGCAUGCUUGUGACCGAUAUUCGGUAUUUGUUGUGAUGAGCGAUUUAGUUCGAUGUAUAUCAUAUUAUGUGUGGAUCGGGUGGCACGCCGCCAAGGGUAUGUUAUUUGGAUCGGGUUGCACGCCGCAACAGUGUCUGUUGAGUACAGUUUUUUAUAUGCUAUUUUUGUAUGCUUUGUUUCCCAUUUUCUAAGGAAAGUCCAUAUUAGUGCGUGAGUUGAGUAGUUCCUUCCAGAGUUCGGUUUCCCUUGUAUCACAUUCGAAUAGAUAGCCUAUCGGCACAUUGCGGCAUCAUAUGAGGCUUUUGAUCAUGUUCGGGGUGGCUUAUUGCCUGAGUAGUUCGUAGUGACUGAGACGCGGUUAUUGGAUCUAGGAAUAGUGCAGUCGGAUUCUAUGAAGUAUAUUAAAAAGCAAAGACCAUUAUUUGGUUCAGAAUGAGGUGAUGCCUCUUGUCUGGAGUAUAGACCCAAUGAAUUGUUGAUUCGGCAGUUGGUUAUAAAUUUCUACACAUCUCUUCCGUUAUGGCGGUAUUGUAAGAGUUAGAGCAAGACCUAUGUAUGCUAUGAGGUGCAAUAGAAGUAUCAGAUUUAGGGAAUUUCGACUAAAUGGAUCAGAGAAUGUUAUUGUGGUCCUGUGAGUAAAGUGGUGUAGGGUGUGAAUUCUGCUAAGGUAUGCAGUCAGGUUUUGGUGCUGCGUGUAGCGAUUGAUACAGUGAGCGUAUGUUGGAACAGGCCUGACAAAGAAUUUCAGACGUUGGAAUAUGGCUCUAAGCAUAUUUGCUUGAAUAAAAGGGAAUAUCUUCAGAAUUGAUCGAGCUAAUAUGCUCAACUGGGUUGUAGUAGCACGGGUAAGUGCACGAGGUGUUAAACAGUGAUUUCAGGCAACCUCAGCAUAGUUCUUAGCACAUUCGAGGACGAAUGUAUGUUUAAGUGGAAAAGAAUGUAACGACCCGACCGGUCAUUUUGAGCUCUAGCGUGUCGUUCAGCAGUUUGAGUCCAAGAGCAGCUUCACUUCAGGUAUUAUGACUUGUGCGCAUGGUCGGAAUAAAAUUCCGGGAAGUUCGGAGUUGAUUUGGAAAGAGAAUUCUCAUUUCGAAAGCUUUAAGUUGAAAGAAUUGACUAAGGGUGGAUUUUUGAGUAAAUGACCUCGAAAUCGGGAUUCGAAGGUUCCAACAGGUUUGUAUGAUGAUUUUGGACUUGGGCGUAUGUCCGGACUAGGUUUUGGAAGACCCGAGAACGUUUUGUCGCCUAUUGUGGAAGUUAGCAUUUGGAAGAAAUUUCAUAAGUUUGGGUUGAAGUGCAUUUCAGUGUUAUCGAUGUCCGUUUGGGAUUCAAAGUCUGUGAGUAGCUCUGUAUAGUGAUUCUGGAGUUGGGAGCGCGAUCGGAAGUGAAUUCGGAGGUCCAUAGGUCAUUUUGGAGUAAUUUGGCUAAAGAUAAAAAUUUGAAGGUUUUUGAUAAGUUUGACCGGAAGUGGACUUUUUGAUAUCGCGGUCGGAAUCUGAUUCCGAAAGUGGGAGUAGGUCUGUAAUGUCGAAUAUGACUUGUGUGCAAAAUUUAAGGGCUAUUGGACGUGAUUUGAUUGGUUUAAACAUCGAAAGUAGAAGUUUGAGAUUCUAAAGUUCAUAAAGCUUGGAUUGGAGGUCGAUUCAUGAUUUUAGCAUUGGUUGAUAUGAUUUGACGCCUCGAGCAAGUCCGUAAUGUGUUUUGGGACUGGUUAGUAUGAUUGGUUGGUAUGAUUGGUUGGGGUCCCUGGGGCCUCGGGUGGAUUCCGGGUGGUUAACGGAUCGAAAAUUGAAUUUUGGAGAAGGCUGAAGUUGUUGGUGUAACCGCACCUGCGAAACUAGGGCUGCAGUUGCGGAACCGCAGAAGCAAAAAUAGACGGCUAGGCUAUGACCACAGAUGCGGUCAUUUUUCCUCAGAUGCGGGACCGCACCUGCGGAAGGAGAAGCACAGAUGCGGAAGUUGAAUUCUUAGGGGAAGACCGUAGAAGCGACAAUUGGUCCGCACCUACGGGACCGCAGAAGCAGUCAAUAAACUGCAGGUGUGAAAGGACUGGAGGCAGUAAGUGUUUUAAAAAUCGGGAUUUGGCCAUUUUCUCUCAUUUUUCUCUUGGCUUGGGCAAUUCUUGGAGGGUUUCAAGAGGGGGUUUUCAUCAUCAACGAUAAGGUAAGCUAUCCCCACCUAUCUUGAGUUAAAUACAUUGAUUAUGUACGGAGUUGAGCAUGAAAUUUGUAGAAACUUGGGGUUUGAGGGAAAAUCUAGAAAAUUGAUAUUCUUUGAAUUUGACCACGAUUUUGGGCAUGAAAUUGAGAGUAAGUUAUAUAUUUGGGUUCGUGAGGUUAUGGGUAAACUUUAUCUUCGAAAAAUUUCAGAAUCUAGGCACGUAGGCCCGAUGGCAAUUUUGUCAACUUUUCGAUCAGGGUUAGGAAUUGCUAUAAAUUGGAUUGUAAUGAGUAAUUGAACAGGUAUUAAUAGAUUUGCAUAAUUAUUGGCUAGUUUUGGAUCAUUGUGCAUUGAUUCAAGUAUUCGGGAGGGCGUGGAAUGCCGGUAAUGGAUCUUCAGAGCGAGGUGAGUCUCCUUUCUAACCUUGUAAGAGGGAAUUAUCCACAUAGGUGAAAUAAUUGGUUAUGUGCUCCUAUUUGUGGGAGCUACGUAUGCACGAGGUGAUGAGAGUCCAUGCGUAGCUACUAUUACGCUAUUGUCCGGGUAGUCUAGGACCCAAAAGCAUGCUAUACUUGGAAUACCUGUAACCUUAUUGAUAGUUGAUUGCUUAAAUUCUAUUGAAUUGGUAAAUGGAUUUAUAAAAAGAAUUAAACUUCAUUUUUCUAAAUUGUUAAAAGAGAAUUGGUUUUCUUUGGAUAAUUGUUUCCUGAUGACUUCUUGAUUGUUUGUCUAUGCGGGUUUAAAUUCUGGAACGGGCCAAACGCCUCGGCAGAUUAAAUAGAUGCAUCUAUGGUUCACGCCAUUUGACCCUCUGGCAGUGCACAGUUUAAAUAUUUUUGGAUCGGGCCGUAUGUCUUCGGCAUGAUUUGGGCAUGCUUGUAUUGCUUGCCUUGAGAUUUAUUGGUAUGGAUAUUUUCUCUCCCCGACUUGAGAUACUUGUUAAUUAAUAGAUUAUGAAUCCGAAUUUUUUUUUAAUAUAAAAAGGAACUUUUACCUGUUCGUGACUUAUUUGAAAUUACUGUAGUUCUUAAUAAAUCCAUGAUUAUUCGCAUUAAUAAUAUAUUACUAUUGGACCACUAGUACGUAUUGAAGUCGAUCUCUCGUCUCUACUUCUUCGAGAUUAGACGGGAUACUCAUUCGGUACACGUUAUUUUCGUACUCAUACUACACUUAUUGUGCAUUUUCUUUGCACAGGUUUAUAUGGGUCUUAGUGGCAUGGUUAGUACGGAGAGUUAGGUGAGCUACAUUUUUGAGACGCCCCGCAGUCGGCAGAGUCUCCUUCAGAGUAUUGUAUUGUAUUUUCAUUUUUGUCCACUUGUAUUACGAACAGUCACGGUAUUUUAUUUCGUUCACUGGCAGAUGCUCAUGCACUUGUGACACCAGGUUCUGGGAUGAUCACGAGGUUUUUCAGUAGUUAAAUUUUGUAAAGACAUCCUCAUAUAUCUAGCGGAG
RNAcentral lists this long non-coding RNA (15666 nucleotides) under Nicotiana tabacum (common tobacco). RNAcentral describes it as "long non-coding RNA (NTAB_LNC010186)". Lineage: Eukaryota; Viridiplantae; Streptophyta; Magnoliopsida; Solanales; Solanaceae. The record is from RNAcentral.